GAGUCAGUGGAGGAUUGUUUUAAGAAGAGAGCCCUAGAGCAUCAGAGGCUGAAAGCAGACAGGCUGGAUUGAAUGAAUAUCUCUACCCUGUUCCUCAGUGGCCAGCAGAGGAAAUUCUAGGGUCCACAGGGUGAGAACUAGGGAAGAGAAAAAAGAUGACGGAGCUUGUGGAUUUAGAGGUUAGACACACAGGUAUCCUAUCACAUGAUGUGACUGCAGAAGAGGCCCUGGUCAUCAGUUAAGAGCUAUAUCAAAAUCACAGGUGCAACGCAGAGGGCCACUGAGUCCAGAACGUUGACAGCCUUACAGCCCAGAGUGGAGGAAUCUGCUAGCUGCAGUCCAUCAGCUUUCCUGGUGAAAGCCUGGAGCGGGCUGACGCCUGCUCCCUCUCCGCCAGUUCCCAGGCAUCUGGGUCGCCUACACAAGUCUUAAUCAAGUCAUCAUAUCUAGCUAGUGUCUCCUGGAUCCCGUCACUUCUGAAUGAGAAAAAAAAUUGCGGACAAAUUUCUAUCAGCAGGAAGUUGGUGCUCUCCUGCGAGGCUGGAUGAAAAGCCCCUGUGACGUCAGCAGUCUCCUGCCUUCCCACGCCUGCUGCGAGCUUUGAAGCUGCAGGCUUCUCUGUUUAUGCCCCUAGCAGACCACCUGCCCCUCUGAGUCCCGUUCAGGCCCCCACAACUUCUUGGGCUGCUCGGGAUGAGCCCAAAGCGUCCUAAUUAUGGACAUUGCUGGCUUGUUCUGGUCAAGUAAGAAGUGUCUGCCCCACAUCAAGAAACUUACCGGCACCAGCAAAUCCUGGCCUCACCAUUGUCCCCGCAGUAAGGAGCAUUUGAUUGAGGGCCAGGAUAGUUUGUUGGAACUUAUAAAAGCCCGGUUUGAAGGAAGGGGCUGCCUGGCCUCCCUCUACACGACUGAUAACUUUCCAAUUUGUAGUAAAAACUGUGAGAGAUAAACC
Molecule: long non-coding RNA, 952 nt
Filed under: Mus caroli (Ryukyu mouse)
Lineage: Eukaryota; Metazoa; Chordata; Mammalia; Rodentia; Muridae
Description: lncRNA (MGP_CAROLIEiJ_G0005137.1)
Source: RNAcentral